GAUGAACGCUGGCGGCGUGCCUAAUACAUGCAAGUCGAGCGAACAGACGAGGAGCUUGCUCCUCUGACGUUAGCGGCGGACGGGUGAGUAACACGUGGAUAACCUACCUAUAAGACUGGGAUAACUUCGGGAAACCGGAGCUAAUACCGGAUAAUAUAUUGAACCGCGUGGUUCAAUAGUGAAAGACGGUUUUGCUGUCGCUUAUAGAUGGAUCCGCGCCGCAUUAGCUAGUUGGUAAGGUAACGGCUUACCAAGGCAACGAUGCGUAGCCGACCUGAGAGGGUGAUCGGCCACACUGGAACUGAGACACGGUCCAGACUCCUACGGGAGGCAGCAGUAGGGAAUCUUCCGCAAUGGGCGAAAGCCUGACGGAGCAACGCCGCGUGAGUGAUGAAGGUCUUCGGAUCGUAAAACUCUGUUAUUAGGGAAGAACAAAUGUGUAAGUAACUAUGCACGUCUUGACGGUACCUAAUCAGAAAGCCACGGCUAACUACGUG
This 497-nucleotide ribosomal RNA is filed under the name uncultured bacterium. RNAcentral's name for it is "partial 16S ribosomal RNA". It matches the Rfam family "Bacterial small subunit ribosomal RNA", at positions 28 to 507 of the family's 1533-position model. The record is from RNAcentral.